RNAcentral lists this small RNA (626 nucleotides) under Pan troglodytes (chimpanzee). Its description in RNAcentral is "processed transcript". The record is from RNAcentral. Lineage: Eukaryota; Metazoa; Chordata; Mammalia; Primates; Hominidae.
GCGGUGGUUAUGGAUCAUGUGACCUCCAGCUACAUGACUCCUGAACCAUAAUUCUAAUCUUGUAGCCAAUUUGUUAGUUUUACAAAAGUGGAUUUGGUCCCAGAGCAAGGAGGGGGAUGGUCGCAGAGAUCCAGAACGUAGAGGGUCAGAUGCAGGAGCAGGUUUGCCCUGAGCCCAUUUUCAGGUUCUUCAGAGAAAACAAGGUGGAGAUUGCAAGUGCAAUAACAAGGCCAUUUCCUUUCCUUAUGGGCCUCCGAGACCGCUCCUUCAUCUCCGAGCAGAUGUAUGAACAUUUUCAAGAAGCUUUUAGAAACCUGGUCCCAGUGACAAGAGUGAUGUAUUGUGUACUCAGUGAACUGGAGAAGACAUUUGGCUGGUCACAUCUGGAAGCAUUGUUCAGCAGGAUUAACCUGAUGGCCUAUCCUGAUUUAAACGAGAUUUACAGAAGCUUCCAAAAUGAAAAUUUAUCAUCCAGUGUAGUCCUUUGUCAACUUGUUUCUCCAAACAAAGACUGGAGAAGUCACAAAGAGAGCCUAGCACAUACUGGUACACUGAGGAGGAGCUGCAUGUGAAAGCUAUGAAGACAGAAAAGGGGGUUGGUGGGGGCCUUUCCGAACCAUGUGGUU